RNAcentral lists this long non-coding RNA (215 nucleotides) under Elaeis guineensis (African oil palm). RNAcentral's name for it is "long non-coding RNA (EGUI_LNC038012)". The record is from RNAcentral. Lineage: Eukaryota; Viridiplantae; Streptophyta; Magnoliopsida; Arecales; Arecaceae.
AGGUUUAUGGUGGUGACGGAGACAGUUUCGAGGAGCACCAUUCACAUUCCAUUGCUAGCAUUUCACUCUAAUAAUUUAACAUUAUAAUCUCUAUCAUCAUCAUCAUCAUUAUAAAUCAAUGCCAUUAAAUAUAUAACAGAGUAACUUUUGCUACUUGAACACAAAAUCUAAAAGCUAUACAAUAUGCAAAAUAUCAAAACGUUAGUCCCCCACGC